GCGAGAGCACAGGGCAUCGCUCACAGCUUGGAACCUAGCUGCCUUAGGUAGUUCGGAUUGUAAACUGAAAAAGUGUUAUCCAGGCUAGCCGAGUAAAUAAGUUUCUUGGAAUAGAACAUCAUGGAGGGUGAGAAUCCCGUCUUUGGCUUGAGCAUAGUCUUUUGUGUUGCACUUUAACGAGUCAGGUUGUUUGGGAAUGCAGCCUAAAGUGGGAGGUAAAUCCCUCCUAAAGCUAAAUAUUGGCGAGAGACCGAUAGCAAACAAGUACCGUGAGGGAAAGAUGAAAAGAACUUUGAAAAGAGAGUUAAACAGUAUGUGAAAUUGCUAAAAGGGAAGCGUUUGAAGACAGACUAGCUUGGUUAUAAUCAGCCUGGAUUUUUCUUGGUGUACUUGUAGCCUAUGCUUGCCAACAGCAGUUUGGUCUGGCUGAAAAAACUAGUAGUAAGGUGGCUCUCUUCGGGGAGUGUUAUAGACUAUUAGAAAAUCAGUUGGACUGGACUGAGGAAUGCAAUGCAGCUUGCCUUGGGGUGAACCAGAUUGGAUAGGAACCAUUGUU
RNAcentral lists this ribosomal RNA (556 nucleotides) under Circinella sp. Its description in RNAcentral is "partial large subunit ribosomal RNA". It matches the Rfam family "Eukaryotic large subunit ribosomal RNA", at positions 89 to 627 of the family's 3401-position model. Lineage: Eukaryota; Fungi; Mucoromycota; Mucoromycetes; Mucorales; Lichtheimiaceae. The record is from RNAcentral.